Molecule: ribosomal RNA, 253 nt
Filed under: uncultured bacterium
Lineage: Bacteria
Description: partial 16S ribosomal RNA
Rfam family: Bacterial small subunit ribosomal RNA
Source: RNAcentral
UACGGGGGGGGCAAGCGUUGUUCGGAAUUACUGGGCGUAAAGGGCUCGUAGGUGGCCAACUAAGUCGGAUGUGAAAUCCCUCAGCUUAACUGGGGAACUGCGUCCGAUACUGGAUGGCUCGAGUUUGGGAGAGGGAUGCGGAAUUCCAGGUGUAGCGGUGAAAUGCGUAGAUAUCUGGAGGAACACCGGUGGCGAAGGCGGCAUCCUGGACCAACACUGACACUGAGGAGCGAAAGCCAGGGGAGCAAACGGG